CCCUAAGGUCCUAAGAUCAUCCAAGCUAGCCCCACUCCACCCCAAGAGAAUCUCCCAUGCCCUCUCUUCCUCCCUCUUUCUCUUCUCCUUAGGCGUCCCCAUGCCAUACUACUUGGGAUGUGCAUCCCAAGUUUUGCACACGCCCAAGGAAUUGGGCGACCCUUCAUCUACUGGUUGGUGGUCUCUUGUAGUACUACAAGGUAAAGAUAAAGGCU
This 215-nucleotide long non-coding RNA is filed under the name Elaeis guineensis (African oil palm). RNAcentral describes it as "long non-coding RNA (EGUI_LNC072048)". The record is from RNAcentral. Lineage: Eukaryota; Viridiplantae; Streptophyta; Magnoliopsida; Arecales; Arecaceae.